AGAGCAGUGCAGAAAGGUUUCGGCCGCCUUCUCCAAUCAAAAGUCACACCUAUUGGCCUAAUGCAGAGAACCAUGAGCUCCUCGUUAAGAAAUACUGAAAACAGAAGGUAGUCCCUCUGUCGCAGGUAUAAAUAAAAGAUCCUGGAACAAUAUUGGACUACUUGCCUUCACAGUUCUGAGAAGAGAGCUGGAAGAGACUGCUUUUACUGCAAAUGCACAACCUACAUUCUGGAUUUAAUCACUGCUUGGCGAUUGCUGUUACCCUCCUUCACCUGCCAGAGAGCAAACAAACAUCUUAGUAAGCAAAAAGUUCUUUAUGAGCACAUGGCAGAGGUGACUGCGGUGGCACACUUUUCUAGAAAGCAGUUGUUACUGAGAUGA
This 381-nucleotide long non-coding RNA is filed under the name Struthio camelus australis. RNAcentral describes it as "lncRNA (ENSSCUG00000001862.1)". Lineage: Eukaryota; Metazoa; Chordata; Aves; Struthioniformes; Struthionidae. The record is from RNAcentral.